RNAcentral lists this long non-coding RNA (226 nucleotides) under Panax ginseng (ginseng). Its description in RNAcentral is "long non-coding RNA (PGIN_LNC018238)". The record is from RNAcentral. Lineage: Eukaryota; Viridiplantae; Streptophyta; Magnoliopsida; Apiales; Araliaceae.
UGUCAAUAGGAAUUCCUGUAGUGAUAGUAGUAUAAGUGAUCCUUGGAAUUGAGAUCAUCAUAAUAUCUUGUGUAUGAUGAGUUAUACUUUGACUUAUUCCUUAAGACCCUUAGGGUAUAUCAAAGGGUAUGCUUGGGUAUAAUAAGUUGUACAUGGAGAUAAUGUAUGAUCAAUAAAGAAUCUACCACUUCUAGUAAAAGAAGAGAAAUGUCCUAUGUGAUUCGAU